Molecule: unclassified non-coding RNA, 210 nt
Filed under: Caenorhabditis elegans
Lineage: Eukaryota; Metazoa; Nematoda; Chromadorea; Rhabditida; Rhabditidae
Description: Non-coding transcript of protein-coding gene clpp-1
Source: RNAcentral
GGAACCUGCUCGGACAUAGUCAUUCGUGCCGAAGAAAUUACUCGUCUGAAGAGAAGACUCAACGAAAUUUAUGUUCACCACACGGGAAUGAGUUAUGAUGAAAUUGAGAAAACCCUUGACCGUGAUCGUUUCAUGAGCGCCCACGAAGCUCUCAAGUUCGGAUUGGUCGACCAAAUCGAGACUCACAACGGAUCAAUGCCAUCAGAUUAA